This is an RNA transcript of Mustela erminea (ermine), 2612 nucleotides long. RefSeq lists it as uncharacterized. The record is from RefSeq and is a predicted model, not a curated record. Lineage: Eukaryota; Metazoa; Chordata; Mammalia; Carnivora; Mustelidae. The transcript is spliced from 3 exons.
CCUACAUGUGAUACGUGUAAUAAUUACGUUAUAUAACACACGAGACGUAAUUCUCUCUCAAGAUGUACUUACACGACCUCAAGAGAGACGUAUACCGGGUAUUUAGCCAAUGCGGGACUGGAAGACUCUGAAGCGGUUUCAAGUUCUCCUGCCACUCUCACCGCCCACGUGCACACAGUCUGGCACGUCUCUGACGGUCCUCGGAGCACACGUGCUGAGGCCGGCCACCGGCUCUCACUACUCCCUCUACAUGUUCAUGGGAGGGAUCACAGGGCCCUUGCCCCAGUCACUUCCCGCAAGCAUGUGCUUAGGACAUCUCUGCUGUAGCCGCGUUUCCUGGAUGCUCACCUGUGCCCACGGCCGACUCACGGAACCCCGAGAGCACCCUGUGAGGACUUCUCUUUGGCCCUGAUCCGUGGAAGGGACACCGAGGCCCAGAGGCAUCACAUGACUUGCCUGAAGUCUGGCCACAGGGUCCCCGCUCUGUUGGCUCCCCCGCAGCACCCCUGAGCCCCCCUCCCCUCACUGGUCCUGGUUGUGGGGGCCCCUCUCACAGCAGGUGUGCACGAGGCCUGGACCUGCCGUCCUGAAGCCUGGGCCACGCUGCAGGGCCGGUCUCUGAUGCCAAUCCCAGCUUUUGAGGAGGCCGGGUCCUUUCUACUUCCCACGACUGUGGAGCAGCGGAGCGCCUCUCUGGAGCCGACGGCCAGAGGCAGGCCGGCCAGGCCCGGACACACACACCUUCAGACACUGCCCAGGUGUGCCACUGCCCUGACAGGACAGACUUCAUUUCUGCGAGUCUGACCGCCGAAAAAUGGCUUCUCAGUGGCUAGGGUCUACACUGACCUGAUGACCAGUGGUGCGGAUGAUUUUUUCAAGAGUCUGUGGUAUUUCCUCUUUUGUGAACAGCUUAUUCAUAUCCUUGACCCAUUCUCCUCUUGAUUAUCUUUCCUUUUUGGUUGGCAGAUUACGAAUUCUUUUGUAUUAAAUGCUCCAACCUUUUCUCACAACCUGUCACUUGUUUUUACCAGCAGGUGUGGAAUCUCUGCCUUAUGGAAGCCUCCGUGUUACAAGCAGGUCUGUCAUCUCUUCCUCCACCGGCUUCUCUCAGCACUUACUGAGCACGCGGAGUGUCGGGCAGCCCGUGGCAUGUCAGGGACCGGAGGUGCACCACAUGGCCACGGCACCUGCCCUCGGGAUGCUUACACUGCACUGGGAGCUGGGGAGGGCAGGGCAGCGAGCAGCAAAACCCACGUGUGUUGGAAGAGAGAUGCUACGUGGGCUCGGGGCGGAGCGCGUGGUCAGGGCUGGCCGCUGCUCCUGGCCAGCACAGCUGAAGCACAGCCAAGGGCAGCCGGAGGUGAAGGCAAGGCCAGGGGGCGGGGUGGGGUGGGGUGUGAGGAAGGCUUGCCGAGGGCCUCGAUGGCUACUUUAACGACUGGUUUCCACUGUGGGGAGAUGGGAAGCCACUUCCCGGGGCUGGGACGGAGGGAAGGGCCUGACUUCAUUUGUGACGAGAGCUAGGAACAGCCUGCAGGGCAGCAAGGCCAGAAGUCGGGGGGGGGGGUACCCCAGUCUUCGGGGUAAGAGAUGACGGCCCCUUAAUGCAGAAAGUGAUCGGAUUCAUGUUCUACUCUAGGGCAGAGCCAGGAACUUGCCAAUGGAUCGUGGGUAAAAGAAGCCAAGGAUGGCCCGAACCCCUGGUCUGGGCAGGCAGAAGAAUCCGGAUGCCAUCUUCCAGGUGGCAGGCCGCCAACAGGGUCCCUGCCCCACGGCACAGGGCAUGCCUCAGCCUGCUCUCUGGCCCUGGACCUCGCGACUCACAGGCUGCCCCACUCCGUACUGCCGCACGCCCCGCCACGCUGCCCAGUUCACGUCCCGAGACGGGGACUGUAAACGGCGCACACCGUAUCCACCAUCCCUGUGUGAGGACAGUGGGCCCCCUUCGGACCAGGUGCCUGUCCCGCUCUGUGAGCUGCCGGGAGCACGGCGGGGCCCAGCAGGCGGGGCGCCACACUGCCUCCUGCGCCACUAUCCUCUUCCAAAGCCUGUGCAACAAGGAGCACUGUUAAAAAAAGAAGUUCCGACUGAAGAGGCACGUCUCCAGAUCCUUAAAACAGAAGGUUAGCUACUAAACCACCAAAUUAUAUACUUGACUCGCUCAUAAGGAAAGUGACAUCGUAACUUAUCGUCCAGAUCUUGGGACGUUUCUCAGAUCUCAGACGGGUGCCCCUUGCAAUCCCGUCGGCCAGCGGGCAUAACCCGGGCCUUCCUGGCUAACGGAGGCAAAUCACCACCAGGCCCGGCAACGGCCUCAAUCCCGAAGAGAGUGGGCAGGAUUGCAGCGCAGCUCUUUCAGCAGAAGCUGUGCCCAAGUUCAAAGGACACUGUGAAGUCCUUAGGAGAACAACAGCAGGACAGUCACCUAGGCCUCAGAGGCGUCGCAAGAGACAGGAGGCAGAGCUACUGGCCCGGGGCCCCCAUCAGCAUUAAACCAACAAAGUGAAAAACAACACUUUAUAACUACUCUUAUUAAAGUCACACAGAAGAGGGGCACCUGGGGGGGCUCAGUCGGUUGGGCAUCUGCCUUCAGCUCGGGUCAUAAGCCCAGG